UCCGUAGGCGGACUAAUAAGUCAGGGGUGAAAUCCCACAGCUCAACUGUGGAACUGCCUUUGAUACUGUUAGUCUUGAGUUAUAUGGAAGUAGAUAGAAUGUGUAGUGUAGCGGUGAAAUGCUUAGAGAUUACACAGAAUACCGACUGCGAAGGCAGUCUACUACGUAUAUACUGACGCUAAUGGACGAAAGCGUGGGGAGCGAACAGGAUUAGAUACCCUGGUAGUCC
RNAcentral lists this ribosomal RNA (229 nucleotides) under uncultured bacterium. Its description in RNAcentral is "partial 16S ribosomal RNA". It matches the Rfam family "Bacterial small subunit ribosomal RNA", at positions 568 to 796 of the family's 1533-position model. The record is from RNAcentral.